CCUACGGGAGGCAGCAGUGAGGAAUAUUGGUCAAUGGGCGUGAGCCUGAACCAGCCAAGUAGCGUGAAGGAUGAAUGUCCUACGGGUCGUAAACCUCUUUUAUAAAGGAAUAAAGUGAGGCACGUGUGCCUUUUUGUAUGUACUUUAUGAAUAAGGAUCGGCUAACUCCGUGCCAGCAGCCGCGGUAAUACGGAGGAUCCGAGCGUUAUCCGGAUUUAUUGGGUUUAAAGGGAGCGUAGAUGGGUUUUUAAGUCAGUUGUGAAAGUUUGCGGCUCAACCGUAAAAUUGCAAUUGAUACUGGCAGUCUUGAGUACAGUUGAGGUAGGCGGAAUUCGUGGUGUAGCGGUGAAAUGCUUAGAUAUCACGAAGAACUCCGAUUGCGAAGGCAGCUUACUAAGCUGCCACUGACAUUGAUGCACGAAAGUGUGGGUAUCAAACAGGAUUAGAUACCCCAGUAGUC
RNAcentral lists this ribosomal RNA (460 nucleotides) under uncultured bacterium. RNAcentral describes it as "partial 16S ribosomal RNA". It matches the Rfam family "Bacterial small subunit ribosomal RNA", at positions 338 to 795 of the family's 1533-position model. The record is from RNAcentral.